RNAcentral lists this long non-coding RNA (206 nucleotides) under Felis catus (domestic cat). Its description in RNAcentral is "lncRNA (ENSFCAG00000049292.1)". Lineage: Eukaryota; Metazoa; Chordata; Mammalia; Carnivora; Felidae. The record is from RNAcentral.
UGAGCAAUAUGUGACGCUACAUGUCACAUGAUCACAACUGAGCCAUCGGUUCUUCUCUCUCUCUCUCUCUCUCUCUCUCGCUGCAGGAUUGUGGAUGAUCAUCGGUGCAAUGUCACAUUUCCGAGAAAUCCUCAAAAGGAGGCAAAAGCAAGUGUCAUCGGCACUAGCUGCCCUGGAACAAAUUUGAAAGUACUGCUUUAAAUGAC